This 1345-nucleotide ribosomal RNA is filed under the name uncultured bacterium. RNAcentral's name for it is "bacterial SSU rRNA". It matches the Rfam family "Bacterial small subunit ribosomal RNA", at positions 28 to 1381 of the family's 1533-position model. The record is from RNAcentral.
GAUGAACGCUAGCGGGAGGCCUAACACAUGCAAGCCGAGCGGUAGAAGAUCUUCGGAUCUUUGAGAGCGGCGUACGGGUGCGGAACACGUGUGCAACCUGCCUUUAUCAGGGGGAUAGCCUUUCGAAAGGAAGAUUAAUACCCCAUAAUAUAAUUGAUGGCAUCAUUAAUUAUUGAAAACUCCGGUGGAUAGAGAUGGGCACGCGCAAGAUUAGAUAGUUGGUAGGGUAACGGCCUACCAAGUCAGUGAUCUUUAGGGGGCCUGAGAGGGUGAUCCCCCACACUGGUACUGAGACACGGACCAGACUCCUACGGGAGGCAGCAGUGAGGAAUAUUGGACAAUGGGUGAGAGCCUGAUCCAGCCAUCCCGCGUGAAGGACGACGGCCCUAUGGGUUGUAAACUUCUUUUGUAUAGGGAUAAACCUUUCCACGUGUGGAAAGCUGAAGGUACUAUACGAAUAAGCACCGGCUAACUCCGUGCCAGCAGCCGCGGUAAUACGGAGGGUGCAAGCGUUAUCCGGAUUUAUUGGGUUUAAAGGGUCCGUAGGCGGAUCUGUAAGUCAGUGGUGAAAUCUCAUAGCUUAACUAUGAAACUGCCAUUGAUACUGCAGGUCUUGAGUAAAGUAGAAGUGGCUGGAAUAAGUAGUGUAGCGGUGAAAUGCAUAGAUAUUACUUAGAACACCAAUUGCGAAGGCAGGUCACUAUGUUUUAACUGACGCUGAUGGACGAAAGCGUGGGGAGCGAACAGGAUUAGAUACCCUGGUAGUCCACGCCGUAAACGAUGCUAACUCGUUUUUGGGUUUUCGGAUUCAGAGACUAAGCGAAAGUGAUAAGUUAGCCACCUGGGGAGUACGUUCGCAAGAAUGAAACUCAAAGGAAUUGACGGGGGCCCGCACAAGCGGUGGAUUAUGUGGUUUAAUUCGAUGAUACGCGAGGAACCUUACCAAGGCUUAAAUGGGAAUUGACAGGUUUAGAAAUAGACUUUUCUUCGGACAAUUUUCAAGGUGCUGCAUGGUUGUCGUCAGCUCGUGCCGUGAGGUGUUAGGUUAAGUCCUGCAACGAGCGCAACCCCUGUCACUAGUUGCCAUCAUUCAGUUGGGGACUCUAGUGAGACUGCCUACGCAAGUAGAGAGGAAGGUGGGGAUGACGUCAAAUCAUCACGGCCCUUACGCCUUGGGCCACACACGUAAUACAAUGGCCGGUACAGAGGGCAGCUACCUAGCGAUAGGAUGCGAAUCUCGAAAGCCGGUCUCAGUUCGGAUUGGAGUCUGCAACUCGACUCUAUGAAGCUGGAAUCGCUAGUAAUCGCGCAUCAGCCAUGGCGCGGUGAAUACGUUCCCGGGCCU